GUGCUUCAGCAGCACAUAUACUAAAAUUGGAAUGAUACAGAGGAGAUUAGCAUGGCCCCUGCCCAAGGAUGACACACAAACCCUAUGAAGUUUUUAUAGGUGAA
Small nuclear RNA from Dipodomys ordii (Ord's kangaroo rat), 104 nucleotides. The record is from Ensembl. Lineage: Eukaryota; Metazoa; Chordata; Mammalia; Rodentia; Heteromyidae.